GCACCUUAGCUCACUGGGCAGAGCAUCUGCUUUGCAUUUAGAAGGCUUCAGGUUCCAUCCCUGACAUCUCCA
Molecule: non-coding RNA, 72 nt
Organism: Podarcis lilfordi (Lilford's wall lizard)
Lineage: Eukaryota; Metazoa; Chordata; Lepidosauria; Squamata; Lacertidae
Source: the annotation of a GenBank genome assembly